GAAAACCCAAUCCCCGUUGCAGACAAGAUGAAGGUCUAAAUUCUACACCCGCUAUAAAAUGGGAGUAGAUGUUGGUUUUCUCCAAUUAAUCAAAGAUUAAGGAGGCAAAAUUCGUGUCCGACCCACCGUGUUGCCAUGCCUAUAACGGUCAACAUCAUUUGGUAAAAGGAUUGUAUUAUCUGUCACAAGACUUUAGAGUAGGAAGAAUUUGCAUCCUCGACAGUUGAAUUUUUACUAAAAACAACUUGACAAAAACAUAGAGUUUUGGGUGAUCGGAAUACCAUAUGUGCUUGGAGACUUGAGAAGGAGGAAUUUCUAGAACAUUUAAUUUUUUGUUGUUUAAUUUUUGGCUGUGUAGUCAUAUAUAUUCCAACUCUUGGGAGUUUAAAGUGGUUUACAUAAUGCUUUUGCUCAUUCUCAGCAAUUUGAGGAGAUAGUUGUUAGGCAAAAACUAUAUGAGAUUUGGUCGGUAUGUAUUUGGUCAAUAUGAAAAGAAAAAAAAAACAUAAUCAAUCUAUAUUUAUUUAACAUAA
RNAcentral lists this long non-coding RNA (533 nucleotides) under Cicer arietinum (chickpea). RNAcentral's name for it is "long non-coding RNA (CARI_LNC000020)". The record is from RNAcentral. Lineage: Eukaryota; Viridiplantae; Streptophyta; Magnoliopsida; Fabales; Fabaceae.